RNAcentral lists this long non-coding RNA (2334 nucleotides) under Canis lupus familiaris (dog). Its description in RNAcentral is "lncRNA (ENSCAFG00845006850.1)". Lineage: Eukaryota; Metazoa; Chordata; Mammalia; Carnivora; Canidae. The record is from RNAcentral.
UGCCAACAUGUUUAAGAAGUUUGCAGAACAGGAUGCAAAGGAAGAGGCCAGUAAAGCCAUGGGCAAGAAGACUUUAGAAGGGGUCACCAAUGAAAAAGAAGCAGAAAGUCAAGCAACAGAAGAAAAAGCCGGAGGCCAUGUAUGACACCACGCAAAGGAGGGAAGAGCCCUAAUGAACUCGGCCCCUUCCUCCAUGGGCUGUCACCCAACUCAGGACUCAACAGUGUUUCAUGUAAAGUUUGUUAUAGUCUGUGCGAAUCUGGAAGCAAAUGGCAAAACCAGUAGCUUCCCAGAAAACAGCCACCCUGCUGCUGCCCAGCGUGCUCCUUGAGAGGGUGGCAUGGGACCACUCCCGGUGGAACGAAGCAGAAGUGACUAUUGAUGUGGUGAGAUCGAACCACCAGCUAAGUCCAGCUCAUUUCAGUUUGUGUCAACUUUCAAUAUCUAAUUCAGGGUCCCUUGAGAUAAUCCUAACAAUUUGGGCUGUCUGUUAGGUUUUACAUCUGAUUGAACUUUUAAUAGCACUGCAGAAACCUAAAAAUAAAUGCUUAAUGAUUUUCUCCUUUCCUGCAGUUGGGUGGGAGAGAGGAGGAGGUCUUGGUUUUUAAAUGACUGAAGUGCUAGCAUUCGUAACCAACACAACCCAUAGGGAGAGGGGUCUGGAAUCCCCUCACACACUGGUUCUCCACAGUGCCAGACUCUGAAGCCAGAACCUCAGAGGCCACUUGCUUGCUGACUUUAGUCAAACUUCCUCACUAAGCCAGUCUGCUUGGGAGAGUGGGGCUCUCUGGCACCCAGCCUGGCCCUGGAGGAGGGAAUCUGUCAUUCCCAAAACAUUCUUCAGCAAUGAUAAUGAGCAGAGGGAGUUUCUAGAUUAGCUUUCCCUGCUUUCCUUGAAGUUCUGAGAUGCUGAAAUGUGAAAAGAGUAAUCAGAAUUGUGCAUUUUCCCCUCCUCUGUCUCUUGUAGGAAGUAAUGUGGAGUACCGUACUGCCUGCUAGCAUUGCUGCCAUUCAGUUUCUGAUUUUCAUUCUAAACCUUGCUAUAUUAAGAAUUUAAGACUUGUUCUUAGAAUAUCUCUGACCUGGAGUGGAUUUAUUUACAUAUCCACUUAGGAUUCAUGCAGCUUUUUUUUUUUUUUUUGUCUUUUUAAAAUUACUGGCUCAUAAACAUGUAUACUGGUUUAUGGAACUUUAUUUACACUCCUCUAUCAUACAAAAAAUUUUUGACUUUUUACUACGAAGUAGCUUGAUUUUUAAAAACAAAAUCUGCAGAGGUGGAAAAAUAAGUAGUUGCUCUUGUACGUUAAGGGUUUUCCUCGCAGGUUUGGCACACAGCAACUUUCUUAUGGCUUCUUUGUUCUGGUGUAAGUCGUGAAAAAGAAUUGAAAACUGCUUCCUGUGCAGGCACAUCUAGCCUAAAAGCUCCAAUCCUGGGGCAUUGAAUCAGGGCAAAUCAGAGUACGUACAUGUAGUGGAAUCUUGGUCCUUACGGGUAAGCGAGAUUGAACAUGGCCUGAGAAGCACUUGUGGGAAUGCGUUUGCAAUCAAAGGAAACAGUAGCUCCAACCUGGAACAUCUCACUUUGUAAAAUCCUAAAGAACACUGGCAGUUACUAGUUUUAACGUUUAUGGUGGUUUUAGCAAAACACUUGUUAGGUUAGGACCCACAUCAAAACCUAAAAAUAAAAUAAUUUCCAUUUAUACCAUUUUUUUCCUCCAUGGAACAAGUGGAAUUAAAUUGUGAGUUUCUUCUUUGACAACUAGAAUGCUUUUAAUUCUCACUUUUGUCUUUAUUCAUGAGAUUUCUUUUAAAAGCCCCAAUCUCGCCUAGGAAAUAUGAAAAGCAGAAGUUGAUUUUGCUUUGUUGCUUGACUGUUUAGUAUUUGUAGCUCUUUUGACUAGAGCAUGACUCCAGUGAGAUUUGAUCCUAAGGCCAGUUAGCUUUUUGCAGGUAGCAAACAAAAAAAACAGGUUCUAAAACUUAGAUUAUCCUAGCCAAUUGUCUCCCAAAUGUGUGUUAUGGGUCACCAGCGGGGAAUGGGCAAGAGUGUGCACAGAAGGGAGGACAGGGGGUAUGCAGGUAGUUCUGAGAAAAUGAGGGUGAGGUGCCCAUCACCACUCAAGAAGAAGAAACUUCAUAUGUUCUUGUAUCAAAUUCAGUAAUCUUAAUUUGUCUAGAAACCAGUGGAUGUCUUUGAACCAUCUUUCAGACUGCAUUUGGAGUGCUGAGGCAGCAUAUAUGAUGAAUUGAAAACUUGUUUUUUAAAAAAAGAAAAACAUUCAGAUGCACUUUUUUGUGUUCCUUAAAUAAACAACCAAACAUGAUUUCCCCUUA